UACGAGAGGCGCAAACGUUAUUCGGAAUUACUAGGCGUAAAGGGCAGGUAGGUGGUUCGAUAAGUCUGUUGUGAAAGCUCCCGGCUUAACUGGGAGAGGUCAACAGAAACUGUCGGGCUUGAGUAUAGGAGAGGAACGCGGAAUUCCAGGUGUAGCGGUGAAAUGCGUAGAUAUCUGGAGGAACACCGGUGGCGAAGGCGGCGUUCUGGACUGUAUCUGACACUGAGGAACGAAAGCCAGGGGAGCAAACGGG
Molecule: ribosomal RNA, 253 nt
Filed under: uncultured bacterium
Lineage: Bacteria
Description: partial 16S ribosomal RNA
Rfam family: Bacterial small subunit ribosomal RNA
Source: RNAcentral